This 492-nucleotide ribosomal RNA is filed under the name uncultured bacterium. Its description in RNAcentral is "bacterial SSU rRNA". It matches the Rfam family "Bacterial small subunit ribosomal RNA", at positions 903 to 1397 of the family's 1533-position model. The record is from RNAcentral.
AAAGGAAUAGACGGGGGCCCGCACAAGCGGAGGAACAUGUGGUUUAAUUCGAUGAUACGCGAGGAACCUUACCCGGGCUUGAAUUGCAACUGAAUGUGCCGGAGACGGUACAGCCGCAAGGCAGUUGUGAAGGUGCUGCAUGGUUGUCGUCAGCUCGUGCCGUGAGGUGUCGGCUUAAGUGCCAUAACGAGCGCAACCCUUAUCUUCAGUUACCAGCGAGCAAUGUCGGGGACUCUGGAGAGACUGCCGUCGUAAGAUGUGAGGAAGGUGGGGAUGACGUCAAAUCAGCACGGCCCUUACGUCCGGGGCUACACACGUGUUACAAUGGGGGGUACAGAAGGCAGCUACCGCGCAAGCGGCUGCUAAUCCCGAAAGCCCCUCUCAGUUCGGACUGGAGUCUGCAACCCGACUCCACGAAGCUGGAUUCGCUAGUAAUCGCGCAUCAGCCAUGGCGCGGUGAAUACGUUCCCGGGCCUUGUACACACCGCCCGU